ACGGAGGGUGCGAGCGUUAAUCGGAAUUACUGGGCGUAAAGCGCAUGCAGGUGGUUUGUUAAGUCAGAUGUGAAAGCCCGGGGCUCAACCCCGGAAGGUCAUUUGAAACUGGCAAACUAGAGUACUGUAGAGGGGGGUAGAAUUUCAGGUGUAGCGGUGAAAUGCGUAGAGAUCUGAAGGAAUACCAGUGGCGAAGGCGGCCCCCUGGACAGAUACUGACACUCAGAUGCGAAAGCGUGGGGAGCAAACAGG
This 252-nucleotide ribosomal RNA is filed under the name uncultured bacterium. RNAcentral describes it as "partial 16S ribosomal RNA". It matches the Rfam family "Bacterial small subunit ribosomal RNA", at positions 525 to 776 of the family's 1533-position model. The record is from RNAcentral.